RNAcentral lists this ribosomal RNA (506 nucleotides) under uncultured bacterium. RNAcentral describes it as "partial 16S ribosomal RNA". It matches the Rfam family "Bacterial small subunit ribosomal RNA", at positions 29 to 523 of the family's 1533-position model. The record is from RNAcentral.
AGUGAACGCUGGCGGUAGGCCUAACACAUGCAAGUCGAACGGCAGCACAGGAGAGCUUGCUCUCUGGGUGGCGAGUGGCGGACGGGUGAGGAAUACAUCGGAAUCUACUUUUUCGUGGGGGAUAACGUAGGGAAACUUACGCUAAUACCGCAUACGACCUACGGGUGAAAGCAGGGGACCUUCGGGCCUUGCGCGAUUGAAUGAGCCGAUGUCGGAUUAGCUAGUUGGCGGGGUAAAGGCCCACCAAGGCGACGAUCCGUAGCUGGUCUGAGGGGAUGAGCAGCCACACUGGAACUGAGACACGGGCCAGACUCCUACGGGAGGCAGCAGUGGGGAAUAUUGGACAAUGGGCGCAAGCCUGAUCCAGCCAUACCGCGUGGGUGAAGAAGGCCUUCGGGUUGUAAAGCCCUUUUGUUGGGAAAGAAAUCCAGCUGGCUAAUACCCGGUUGGGAUGACGGUACCCAAAGAAUAAGCACCGGCUAACUUCGUGCCAGCAGCCGCCGUAA